Hibiscus syriacus is the source of this 282-nucleotide long non-coding RNA. RefSeq lists it as uncharacterized. Lineage: Eukaryota; Viridiplantae; Streptophyta; Magnoliopsida; Malvales; Malvaceae. The record is from RefSeq and is a predicted model, not a curated record. The transcript has 3 exons.
AUUUAUCGACUUCCCCCUCAUUUUUGCUUUUGAGCAAAUAAUGAAUCUUUCAACUAAGCAGAGUGUUAAUAGAGCUAUGAAUCCUUGGGCUCUUCAUCUUCAAAAACUGGGUCUGGAGCUUAAAUGUCCUCUCUGUUUGAAUUUGUUUAAACGACCAUUGUUGAUGCCGUGCGACCAUCUGUUUUGCGAUACGUGCAUAGCCAGAACUGAGUUUGGCUCAGAGUGCCCUAUUUGCAAAGACCAAUCUGCAGAUCGAGGUAAUUUUCAUUUAAUUACUUCUAU